This 172-nucleotide small nuclear RNA is filed under the name Caenorhabditis brenneri. RNAcentral's name for it is "snRNA CBN33664". It matches the Rfam family "U1 spliceosomal RNA". From Rfam's summary of the family: U1 is a small nuclear RNA (snRNA) component of the spliceosome (involved in pre-mRNA splicing). The record is from Rfam by way of RNAcentral. Lineage: Eukaryota; Metazoa; Nematoda; Chromadorea; Rhabditida; Rhabditidae.
AAACUUACCUGGCUGGGGGCUAUUUCGCGAUCAUGAAGGCGGAAUCCCCAUGGUGAGAAUCCCCAUGACGUCCAUUGCACUUUCGGAUGGGCUGACCUGUGUGGCAGUCUCGAGUUGAGAUUCGCCAACAGCUUAAUUUUUGCGUAACGGGGCUGCGUUCGCGCGGCCCUGG